UUUCCCCAUCAAAAUAAAAUGUUUAUGUUGGAAAAUAAAUGUCAAAUGAGAUCUAAUUUAGCAUGAAGACUGGCUAAAGGUCUUGCAGAUAGCGUCUUAUACACAGAACCAUCCUGAUGGGACAUCUGUCAUUGCUUGAUGUGCCUCUGCCCCUGUCUUCAUACUGUACCCCCUGAAAGGUCACCGGUAAAAGCUACUUAAUGCUUCCUAAAACAAUUUGCAUGCACAUUCGGACUAAUACCUGAAAGAUCAACAUCAUAACAACAACAACAAGCUCUGCAUUCAUCUGCCCUCACUGACAAAAACAAGAAAAUAAGAAACCCUCUAAAAACAGAGACAACAAUCAGCUUCAAAGGUGCCGGAACAGGUCAAACUAAUCUACUUCUAACAACGCUAAUGACAAACUACAUCACUACGGAGCAGCUACCACCUUCUACUCUCAGCCU
Sebastes umbrosus (honeycomb rockfish) is the source of this 446-nucleotide long non-coding RNA. RefSeq lists it as uncharacterized. The transcript is spliced from 4 exons. The record is from RefSeq and is a predicted model, not a curated record. NCBI's taxonomy places the organism in Eukaryota, Metazoa, Chordata, Actinopteri, Perciformes, Sebastidae.